This 665-nucleotide long non-coding RNA is filed under the name Bos indicus x Bos taurus (hybrid cattle). RNAcentral describes it as "lncRNA (ENSBIXG00005008538.1)". Lineage: Eukaryota; Metazoa; Chordata; Mammalia; Artiodactyla; Bovidae. The record is from RNAcentral.
GCAGGGCUGGCCUGUCCCAUGUCGGGGCCUGGUGAAGCCCCUCUCCCACGAGGGGCUUUGGCUGGGGCCCACGGGGCCUUGUGGGGCACGGCAGGGAUCAGAGGGCAUCCCGGCAUCUGUGGAAGUCUUCAUGCAGCUUCCCCCUGGAUCUGACCACGGAUUUUAUGAUGCAGGCACGGAGUCCAGAGAAUCCUUGGAAAUGGAUUGCUCGUCUUUAAAACCAAAACACACACGUGCGGGUUAGCUCAGCACCCACAGCGGCCGGGGCCUCCCGAAACCUGACGUUCCAGAAGCCCGGGGCCUGUUGGCACAGAUAGAGGGCCUGGGCCCCGGGCCACGGUCACCCUCAUCACCAAGAAGCUGCAAAGCCAGCGCCUGGAUGACCUCGCCCACAAGAGCUAUGAUGCCGGCCCACAUUCUGCCCAGAAACUCAGCAGAAGUGGCCACUUCUUCCCUUUUGAGACUAACAGUGAGUGUUUAAAAGCCCGGGCGGGUUUUCCGGGGCUGCUGGGGGCUGGGACCGUGGGCAGGGCGGGAAGGACACGGUCGCUGGCCCGGAGGCGAGGUCGCCCUCUGCUGGCCUUCCUCCCUGGGGCAGCGGCGUGGGUGGGGCCCGGGGCUGCCGCCCCACCUUCUGGAAGCUGCCUGCAGGGCGGAGCUGAAAG